This 29-nucleotide non-coding RNA is filed under the name Homo sapiens (human). Lineage: Eukaryota; Metazoa; Chordata; Mammalia; Primates; Hominidae. The record is from RNAcentral.
UGGUCAACCACACCGUAAACAUGAAAGGC